This 460-nucleotide ribosomal RNA is filed under the name uncultured bacterium. RNAcentral's name for it is "partial 16S ribosomal RNA". It matches the Rfam family "Bacterial small subunit ribosomal RNA", at positions 338 to 795 of the family's 1533-position model. The record is from RNAcentral.
CCUACGGUGUGCAGCCGUGAGGAAUAUUGGUCAAUGGGCGCGCGCCUGAACCAGCCAAGUAGCGUGAAGGAUGACUGCCCUACGGGUUGUAAACUUCUUUUAUACAGUGAUCAAGUGAGGCACGUGUGCCUUUUUGUAUGUACUUUAUGAAUAAGCAUCGGCUAACUCAGUGCCAGCAGCCGCGGUAAUACGGAGGAUCCGAGCGUUAUCCGGAUUUAUUGGGUUUAAAUGGAGCGUAGAUGGGUUGUUAAGUCAGUUGUGAAAGUUUGCGGCUCAACCGUAGAAUUGCAGUUGAUACUGGCAGUUGUGAGUACAGUUGAGGUAGGCGGAAUGCGUGGUGUAGCGGUGAAAUGCUUAGAGAUCACGAAGAACUCCGAUUGCGAAGGCAGCUUACUAAACUGCCACUGACAUUGAUGCUCGAAAGUGUGGGUAUCAAACAGGAUUAGAUACCCGGGUAGUC